GCGGCGACGGCAGCGGCUACGGGGUCUCCCGCGCGGCGCUUACGGGGCGGCGUGAGGCGGCACCGCCGCCAUCUUGGAGCUCGAGUGGCCGCGGGAGAAUGAUGGAAAUCCUUCCUGACUUAAAGCCUCCACAACUUUCUUUUGAAGAGGUAUUGAUAUUCUUAAAAACUGAGGAGUCCAGCUGCAAACAACAGUCAGGAAAAGGGCAUCGGUCCAUUAAAUGAUAAGGUCUAAGGGUGAACUUUCAAGGGACACCACUGGUAACUGCUGUCAGAUGGAGUGUGGCUCUUUAACCCCUUGGGCCUGUCAAGGUAGAGUUUCACCCUUUCAGCAGUCUGCCCAUCCACACUAUAACAUUCCAGUUUGGAUACAAGUGUGCUGUGGGAGACCGUGCUGAAAGCCCUCCUGAAGUCAAGGCAUGGCUCCUUGCAGACUUUCUCCGUUAUUGUCCCAGAGGACAAGCAGUGGUUCCAUGGAUCAUCAUUCUUGCCUUUCUUUAGCAUUAUGGGCUUUUGGAGAGAUUGAAGUGUGAAAUCAGCCUUUCACUUCACAGCUAAGAGAUUUGACAUAGUCCAUAGUGAUACACCCCCUACAAACUGGAACUAAAAAGUCUGUAAACAGUUAUUGAUUUCCACAUGCUACUGGGGAAAUUUUCCAAGAUCAGUGACAGCUGGGAAAUCACUGGCAUUUUAAAAUUAUAGAUCACUGAUUCACUUUUUCGGCAUUUUCAGUAUUGCAUUAUGGCAAUAAACAUGCUAGAUGUGUAUUAAAAAAACCAAAAUGCUUUUAGCAUUUUAGUAUUUUUUUGUUUGAGCAGUAUUACAGAUGAAAAUUUCUUGAUACAAUUCAAAAUAAUGGGUUUGUUUAUUAAAGAUAUAUACCCAUUAAGAUGAAGUUAGGAUGAGGAAAAUGCUUGUUUGUGUGAAAAUAAUAUCUGCUUUUUCAACAACAGCAUCUCCUGAGGUUUCUUUGAUUCAUAUCUGAUUACUUUAAUGACUAAACCAGGUUUUAACUCCUGUUAGCACUGCAGAAUACAGAGAAUUGUAGAAGACUAAAAUGUAUUUUGCCCUCCCAAGUCAUUGUCAACGCAACUCUCAGCAUCAUUUCAUCCACAGUCUGUCGUGCCAUGAGGCCUGUAAGAGGUAUGUUAUUCCACCAGUACAAAGAAGACAAGCAAGAAGGAAGUUAAUAAAGUGGAAUUUUCUUUGUUACAGAGGCUGUCUUUGAAGGGAUUGUAAUGGCAGGUAUAGCUCUGCCAAGUAGAAAUGAUUCUGGAGACGCUGCAGAAGGUGGAGGCUUUCCUGUGAUGAACGUGGAGGCAGUCCGGAGGGGUUAGGUAAAGCCAGGCUGCAGCCACUGCAAAAGGAUCUUCUGAAAAAGAUCUGCAAGAUGGAUUUGUCAUUGAAUUUAUAGCUACAUGGAUGCGUGUGUACCUGUCAUUAAAUUUGCAUUAGUUCAACUAUAUAUAUCUAAUAUAUAUAAAAUAAGUAUCACUAUUACUUGUAAGUAAGCUUGCUUUAAAAGAACAUUUUGAAAUAAUAUAUGGUUAAUGAUAUGAAUUCCUAGGAAUCUACUAUAGAGGAGAUGGCUCAAAGUCAAGAGAAUUUGUUCAGUGAAACCAAAGGAUAUGAGAGUGCCUGGAGCAUCACAGUGAUGGGCAAAUAACGUACCACCAGAUAGGGGGAAUAUCCAUCAGGCUUGUCCUGCUGCUGCCACUUUCCUAACAAAUACUGAAUAGCUAUCAAGCUUCAGUCGCUAUUGAAAACUGGCUGUGUUACUGAAAGUAUUCUCUUGACCUCUGCAGUGUGUUAUUACAAAAAGAAGGGCAUAAUUGACUUAUUGAAUCCACAAUUAUUUGUUCUUGCUGUUGUCCCAUAACAGCAUGGAUUAUAAACCUUAUGUCCUAGGCAGGCAGGCAAAACUCUGUUACCUUAGUCCUGCUGUUUAAUUAGUGUUUACAAUUGGACGUUGUUUAUAUACCAAUAAAUGUUGCCUGAAUGAAGACUUCCCCUUAACCAAUUAUACCAGAUGUUUCUCUGUGAAGGUCCUAAUUAAACAGCAUCUCUUCUUGUGUUUGCUUUAAUCCUGCCUCUUGUGUGGAUCUCUGUCAGAGUGCAUCACUACACUGGGACACUUUACCCACAUUUCUGUCCCUUUCAGGUUCACUGGCUGGUGGCAGCUGCUCCCUUUAAAAGUUCUUGCUUACUGUAUGGGAAGAAGGUUCUGAUGGGUAACCUUGAGAGCUGGGAAUCCAAAUCCAUUCCUUUUUCUAUAGUGGGAUUCUCAAGUGAUUGCUAAGUGACAUAUGACCCCAUCAGGAUGCUAUAACUUCAGGUGGCUGAUGGGGUCACUGCUCUAGUGUCCAAAUCUGCAGUUUCCAGCCCAGAAUUUUCAGCAAAGGGGGAAUUUACUUGGAAGCCCUCCUCUAUAGACAUUGUCAAGUUGCAGAUCCUGUGCCUGGUUUGUGAGCAGCUCUGCCCUCCAUCACAAUUUUGGCAGUUUCGGGAAUGGUCAAGGAUAGCUGUCCUGGACAGUGCUGUGCCCACUCCUUAGUCAGACCCUCAGUAUUCUUGAGCUUCCCUUCUCCUGUAUAAUGGUCCAUUACUUUCUGGCAGUUAAGAUUUUAAGAGCUUUUCUAUUCCAGGUGCUUCUUCUAAGAGCUGAUUCCUAAGUUUCCAGCACUUUUGUGUGUGCUUAUAAUAUGAAAAGGAAAUCAGCUUCCUUUCUCUGGUACAGCACCCGCCAUCCUAAGUGAGUCAACGAGUUCCUAAAUGUAGUAUUUCAAUGCCACGUGAAAAAGUAAGGAGUGGGAGAUGUAUUAGUGGGAACACUGUCUCACUGCCAAUCCUUAUGGGUCAGAGGAUUAGGAAUACAGUAGCCCAUCUGUGCUUCACCGAAUAUCUCCAUUUAGAAGAUAAGAAUGAUAUGUAACUACAUUUUUUACUGUGUACUUCCUUCAUCCAAACUUCAAGUGACUCUAAUUUCAUAUUAGUGUCUUAAUUUUUAAAUUGUCCUUGAUUUCAAGAUGGAUUAGUUAGUAAUUACAUUAAAUUAUUUCUGCAGAUUCUGAUCCAAUAUAUACCCAUUCAUUUCUGUAAGAUAUUAAUUUAAAGGAUUUUUUUUUUCAUCUGUAGGGCCACUCUUGCAGG
Long non-coding RNA from Lepidothrix coronata (blue-crowned manakin), 3149 nucleotides. RefSeq lists it as uncharacterized. Lineage: Eukaryota; Metazoa; Chordata; Aves; Passeriformes; Pipridae. The record is from RefSeq and is a predicted model, not a curated record. The transcript is spliced from 6 exons.